CGUCACCCUUUUGUGCCUUGCCCCAAGAGAUGAGAGGAAGAAAAAAGAAGAGAAGAGAGGGGAGAUGAGGGCAUACCGUCGCUCAUCAUCGUCGUUCCUCUCCAAGAAUUGGUUGGAUUUUCCUCUCUCUCUUUUCUCCACUUGAUGAAUGCUUUCUCUUGUUUUGGAUGAGUUUUAGGCCCUGCAAUUAGUUUUUUUGGUUGGAUUAGAUGGGAGAUUAGAUUUUGAUCUCGAAAUUAGUUUCUGCAGGAUGGCAGAUUCAACAGUUUCUGUUCAUGCAAGUUUUCCGUGAUCUUAGUAGCCUCAAAAAAUUAAAACGUCUGUCUAUGAGUCGUAGAUAAUUUGUAUAUCUUUCCGUGGCCGUGAAGAACACCUCAAUCGGACAUCAGAUCAGAAAGUUAUUGCAGUUUGAUUAUAGCAGUUUUUCAGUCUCAUAAUUCUGUGCAGAAUCUGUUCUCUUAAGAUUUAGGCAAUUUUAUCUACAGAAUUAAACUUUAGGAUUGUAAAAGAAGUUGUAGACAAUUUUAUAAGCUUUCCAGAUUGUUAAAGAGCGCAUUCAUAUGAAUUAUGAAACUCCAGUUAUGUUUGUUUUACUGUGGCUGUUCCUGUUUGCCUGACAAAAAUGAGUGGGUCUGUUCACUGGUGGGUUUCAUAUAGUAAAUAGCCGAAUUGGCUGUUCCAACUAUGGAGACAUUUGUAGAGGGAUAAAAGUUCUUACUGCCAGCAGAAUUUCAUAAUUUUUGGUUGAGUAGUUUGGUAGAUAUUGAAUUUUGAAGUUAACUAUGCUGCUGUCUGAAACAGAUUCAGACAUUUAUCUUAUGAGAUGUUUUAGAACUUAUAGAUGGCAGAAUUUAAUUAUCUAUUGAAUGCUGAAGUUGUAGAGUAUUUUGUGUAUACACUCCUAGAGUAUUUGUUUAAUAUCACCACUGUUAUAAUUUUAAAGAUACAAAAUUAACAAACAGUGUUGUUGUUGUUUGGCAUGUGGUUCAGGGUGGGAGUCUUUCCACCGGGUCUUGGUUUCAAGUGUAGGAGCGAUUUGUUGAUUGUUGGCAAAUGUUUGUGAAAUAUUUGUACUAAGUUUUAUGCCCGCUAGCAGGUGGCUACACUCCGGAUCAUGCCUAGUACAUCUUUCUUCCUCGAUGAAGGCAAGUGAAUGUAGUAGUGGUUUCUACCGUUUUGACUUGUUGUUUUUUUAUCGCCUACACUCUAAUAUUCAGAAUUAUAGAAUUCUUUCAUAAUUGAACUCUAUGGUGAUGCUUUACUUGAUUGUAUUAUACUGAUGCUCAAUCAUAUAUUGAUGAUGAUUAUGGUUCGAGUAUGACCCAUGAGAUUAAUUUACACCCGUGAAGGCAGAUAAAGUAUUAUUUGAGGUUUGUAUCGUAUCUGAAGGCAGAUGAAGUAUUAUUUGAGGUUUGUUUUGUAUCUGAAGGAAGUGAAGUGUAUUGAUAAAUACAGCAUGCCAUAUGCAUUACAUGAUUCAUUUGCAUCUGAAGUUUGGUCGUGACCUAUGGUCCGACUGUACCGGUACAACUUAGCAUCGUACGUUGCCCGAGGAGGGGUACGAUGCGGCUUCAUACCCUUAGAGGUAUGAAGGCAGAGGACAUAUGCAUUGCAUUUAUAUGCAUUCAUUGAAGUGAUAUUAGCAGAUGAUGUGGUUUUAUACUCUCAGAGGUAUGAGGGCAGAUGACCUACACAUUGCAUUCCUAUGCAUACAUUGAAGUGAUAUCUGCAGGUAUUGUUGACGCAGGGAAGGGUUAUACAACCUAUUGUGGUUGUUCGAGGAAAUGAGAUGGUAUUGGUUAUAUUGGGACUAUUGAGUUCUAUAUCUACAAGUAUUUCUGAUCUCAAUUGUGAUUCCUUUAAAAUGUUGUUUAAUUCAAUUUGUGGUUUAAAUAUCUCGUCAAAACAAUUUGCUUGCUGAGAUGUAUCAUCUCACUCUUGCAUUACUCAAUGCAGGUACUUGAUUCAUGUUGGGAAUGAGGGAAGUAGCAGCACGUUCACCUUCACUAUUAUAAUAACGAUGCCCAGUUGCAGCCAUGAUUUAAUUAGAAACUCGAUGACAAAUGAUGUUUGUUUUUUCCUAGUCGUGUGCACUGGUUAAUUCAGUUCAUGUCGUUAUGUUUAACUUUCCUUUGCUAGCAGAUUAAUAAUGCUUAGUAUGUUUUUUUUCAUGAUAUAUGUUUAUACACUGUUGCCCC
Molecule: long non-coding RNA, 2198 nt
Filed under: Zea mays
Lineage: Eukaryota; Viridiplantae; Streptophyta; Magnoliopsida; Poales; Poaceae
Description: long non-coding RNA (ZMAY_LNC001722)
Source: RNAcentral